GGAAGGGUGACCGAGAGGCUGAUGGUGCACGCUUGGAAAGCGUGUGUACGGGUUAAACUGUACCAGGGGUUCAAAUCCCCUCCCUUCCG
This 89-nucleotide transfer RNA is filed under the name Spirochaetota bacterium. Its description in RNAcentral is "Spirochaetes bacterium (wastewater metagenome) tRNA-Ser". It matches the Rfam family "tRNA". Rfam says of the family: Transfer RNA (tRNA) molecules are approximately 80 nucleotides in length. Their secondary structure includes four short double-helical elements and three loops (D, anti-codon, and T loops). The record is from RNAcentral. Lineage: Bacteria; Pseudomonadati; Spirochaetota. RNAcentral also lists the same sequence under 1 other name.